CCUGAAACGCCGCCGUCUUUCACGUGUGUCCGUCCGGCUGCCAGUCAAACGUUCUUUGAUGAACUCCCUCGGGAAUGCGGCCGUGUGUUGAACGCCAGCUCCAAAACGUGUGACCUUCACCUGUCGGCUCUCACCUGAUCAGAGAUGUGGUGGCAGCGCUGCAGCGGCAUCAGAGACGGAGUCUUGAGCAGGAAGUGGAGCAGCUGAUCCGACAGAGGCCAGGACGUAAGCAGUCUGACGACGGCGGUGGAGCCCGAGACCACCUGCUCACACCUGAAGCACACAGCCGCAUGUGAGUCUCCAUAAAUGUGUGACUCAUUACUACAGAUGAGUUGAAAGCAGCUCUGAUGACAGAAACCCAAACCCAUCCAGGUACGUUCAGCAGCUGCAGCUUUGAGAAGAAGAUCAGCACCUGCUGCAGCAUCCCAGGAGGAUCCUGAGGAGAAGGAGAAAACAAGCUGAGCUUCCACACCACAUGUCUGCAGCACAAAGCACACAGACACCUCUGGUGAAAAAUGGCUAUUGAGCAUCGUGUGGUCCUGGACGCGUGGGCACAGCCGCGGAACUAGAGGACUGGGGAGAGCCGGAGACGCGCCACAACCUGACGUCCGGGAGACGCAGAGCGCGACCUACGGUCAUUGCGGGUCCAAAUCGAGGCGGUGGCUAGCAGCACGCCGGCGGGAGAAAGACCCGAGGAGGGAGGCGGCUCA
RNAcentral lists this long non-coding RNA (710 nucleotides) under Oryzias javanicus (javanese ricefish). RNAcentral's name for it is "lncRNA (ENSOJAG00000017224.1)". The record is from RNAcentral. Lineage: Eukaryota; Metazoa; Chordata; Actinopteri; Beloniformes; Adrianichthyidae.